RNAcentral lists this long non-coding RNA (339 nucleotides) under Coccomyxa subellipsoidea. RNAcentral's name for it is "long non-coding RNA (CSUB_LNC000701)". Lineage: Eukaryota; Viridiplantae; Chlorophyta; Trebouxiophyceae; Coccomyxaceae. The record is from RNAcentral.
GCAUUGUCUUGACCAGAGAUGAAGGCGCUCCAAUCAUUGUAUGUCCAGCAAAUCUAUUGGUCCCAUUCCUGCCCUCCCAUCUGCGAAAUGCGCUGGCGUCGGCCUCACAUGCCUCGCUCCUGCCUGGAACGAGGUGCGCAUGCUCACUGUCACUUUCACACUGAUCUUCCACUGUCCUGGAACGCAUUGCAAAGCCACUCAGUUUCCAUUCUGCUGUCCAGCAUUCGGAAGUGCAGAUCAUUGAUGCUGUGGUUUCCCCUGAUGGCCUCAGGAUCUCAGUCUCCACAGACUACAGCACACUCAAUGGACAUGCUGCAGUCGAAGGAAGAUUGCGCAGAU